GUCCGGGCCCUGUGCAAGGUCAGACGAUGAACCGCGUCAGGGCCGGAAGGCAGCAGCGCUCAGUCGAGCCUGGCUUGUGCCGCAGGUCGUCCGGGCCGC
Molecule: signal recognition particle RNA, 99 nt
Filed under: Acidobacteriota bacterium
Lineage: Bacteria; Pseudomonadati; Acidobacteriota
Description: signal recognition particle sRNA small type
Rfam family: Bacterial small signal recognition particle RNA
About the family: The signal recognition particle (SRP) is a universally conserved ribonucleoprotein involved in the co-translational targeting of proteins to membranes. Archaeal SRP consists of a 7S RNA and homologues of the eukaryotic SRP19 and SRP54 proteins.
Source: RNAcentral